CUUAAGUCUUCAUCUCCACAAGCCCUGAUUCUUGCGCAGAAAUACUGAAUAAGGGAAAGUAAAGCAGAUUCCGCAAUUGCCAUCCACAGAUUGUUUCAGCCACGCAGAAAAAUGUAUGACUAUGAAGGGGAAAGGAACGAAAAGGGAAUCUUCAUCCUCCAAUUUGGAUUCUCAGGAACCCAGAAUAAACAUCAAGUCCAUCCUGAAAGAUGUUGAAUUUUUGGGUGAAGCUCUUCUGAAUCGCUGGAGCUGCAAGUCGCGUAGCCAUUUUUCUAGUGCUUUAGAGAUUGAGCUUCUCUCAGUUUUUUGUUGCAGAUGAUGAUUGUUCUAGAAGAUUGCAGAGGGAAAUGGAAUUCAAGAAAGAAACAGUUGCAGUGACGAUGAGAGAGAGAGUGUGUGUGAUGAUUAUCCAAAGUGGAGUGAUGGGUGACACGUGGUAUUGGAUUUUGGCGGGCAGUGUAAUGGGCCGAAGAUUUGAGGCCCACUCUUUAAGAAGAUUUGAGGCCCACUCUUUAAUGAAAUGGUUAAGCCUUGUGUUGGAUGUAUGUGCAAUUUAAAAUUCUUAAGAAUAUUAA
Long non-coding RNA from Salvia splendens (bonfire salvia), 575 nucleotides. RefSeq lists it as uncharacterized. The transcript is spliced from 3 exons. The record is from RefSeq and is a predicted model, not a curated record. NCBI's taxonomy places the organism in Eukaryota, Viridiplantae, Streptophyta, Magnoliopsida, Lamiales, Lamiaceae.